RNAcentral lists this ribosomal RNA (254 nucleotides) under uncultured bacterium. RNAcentral's name for it is "partial 16S ribosomal RNA". It matches the Rfam family "Bacterial small subunit ribosomal RNA", at positions 524 to 776 of the family's 1533-position model. The record is from RNAcentral.
CACGUAGGGUGCAAGCGUUGUCCGGAAUCAUUGGGCGUAAAGAGCUCGUAGGCGGCUUAGUAAGUCGGGUGUGAAAACUCUAGGCUCAACCUAGAGACGCCACCCGAUACUGCUAUAGCUAGAAUCCAGUAGGGGAGUGUGGAAUUCCCAGUGUAGCGGUGAAAUGCGCAGAUAUUGGGAGGAACACCAGCGGCGAAGGCGGCACUCUGGGCUGGUAUUGACGCUGAGGAGCGAAAGCGUGGGUAGCGAACAGG